GAUGAACGCUGGCGGCGUGCCUAAUACAUGCAAGUCGAGCGAACAGACGAGAGUGCUUGCACUCUCUGACGUUAGCGGCGGACGGGUGAGUAACACGUGGGUAACCUACCUAUAAGACUGGGAUAACUUCGGGAAACCGGAGCUACUACCGGAUAAUAUUUAGCUUCGCAUGAAGCAAUAGUGAAAGACGGUUCUGCUGUCACUUAUAGAUGGACCCGCGGUGUAUUAGCUAGUUGGUGAGGUAACGGCUCACCAAGGCAACGAUACAUAGCCGACCUGAGAGGGUGAUCGGCCACACUGGGAGUGAGACACGGCCCAGACUCCUACGGGAGGCAGCAGUAGGGAAUCUUCCGCAAUGGACGAAAGUCUGACGGAGCAAUGCCGCGUGAGUGAAGAAGGUUUUCGGAUCGUAAAACUCUGUUGUAAGGGAAGAACAAGUACGUUAGUAACUGAACGUACCAUGACGGUACCUGACCAGAAAGCCACGGCUAACUACGUG
Molecule: ribosomal RNA, 499 nt
Filed under: uncultured bacterium
Lineage: Bacteria
Description: partial 16S ribosomal RNA
Rfam family: Bacterial small subunit ribosomal RNA
Source: RNAcentral